This 1410-nucleotide ribosomal RNA is filed under the name Lacticaseibacillus rhamnosus. Its description in RNAcentral is "bacterial SSU rRNA". It matches the Rfam family "Bacterial small subunit ribosomal RNA". The record is from RNAcentral. Lineage: Bacteria; Bacillati; Bacillota; Bacilli; Lactobacillales; Lactobacillaceae.
CGAGUUCUGAUUAUUGAAAGGUGCUUGCAUCUUGAUUUAAUUUUGAACGAGUGGCGGACGGGUGAGUAACACGUGGGUAACCUGCCCUUAAGUGGGGGAUAACAUUUGGAAACAGAUGCUAAUACCGCAUAAAUCCAAGAACCGCAUGGUUCUUGGCUGAAAGAUGGCGUAAGCUAUCGCUUUUGGAUGGACCCGCGGCGUAUUAGCUAGUUGGUGAGGUAACGGCUCACCAAGGCAAUGAUACGUAGCCGAACUGAGAGGUUGAUCGGCCACAUUGGGACUGAGACACGGCCCAAACUCCUACGGGAGGCAGCAGUAGGGAAUCUUCCACAAUGGACGCAAGUCUGAUGGAGCAACGCCGCGUGAGUGAAGAAGGCUUUCGGGUCGUAAAACUCUGUUGUUGGAGAAGAAUGGUCGGCAGAGUAACUGUUGUCGGCGUGACGGUAUCCAACCAGAAAGCCACGGCUAACUACGUGCCAGCAGCCGCGGUAAUACGUAGGUGGCAAGCGUUAUCCGGAUUUAUUGGGCGUAAAGCGAGCGCAGGCGGUUUUUUAAGUCUGAUGUGAAAGCCCUCGGCUUAACCGAGGAAGUGCAUCGGAAACUGGGAAACUUGAGUGCAGAAGAGGACAGUGGAACUCCAUGUGUAGCGGUGAAAUGCGUAGAUAUAUGGAAGAACACCAGUGGCGAAGGCGGCUGUCUGGUCUGUAACUGACGCUGAGGCUCGAAAGCAUGGGUAGCGAACAGGAUUAGAUACCCUGGUAGUCCAUGCCGUAAACGAUGAAUGCUAGGUGUUGGAGGGUUUCCGCCCUUCAGUGCCGCAGCUAACGCAUUAAGCAUUCCGCCUGGGGAGUACGACCGCAAGGUUGAAACUCAAAGGAAUUGACGGGGGCCCGCACAAGCGGUGGAGCAUGUGGUUUAAUUCGAAGCAACGCGAAGAACCUUACCAGGUCUUGACAUCUUUUGAUCACCUGAGAGAUCAGGUUUCCCCUUCGGGGGCAAAAUGACAGGUGGUGCAUGGUUGUCGUCAGCUCGUGUCGUGAGAUGUUGGGUUAAGUCCCGCAACGAGCGCAACCCUUAUGACUAGUUGCCAGCAUUUAGUUGGGCACUCUAGUAAGACUGCCGGUGACAAACCGGAGGAAGGUGGGGAUGACGUCAAAUCAUCAUGCCCCUUAUGACCUGGGCUACACACGUGCUACAAUGGAUGGUACAACGAGUUGCGAGACCGCGAGGUCAAGCUAAUCUCUUAAAGCCAUUCUCAGUUCGGACUGUAGGCUGCAACUCGCCUACACGAAGUCGGAAUCGCUAGUAAUCGCGGAUCAGCACGCCGCGGUGAAUACGUUCCCGGGCCUUGUACACACCGCCCGUCACACCAUGAGAGUUUGUAACACCCGAAGCCGGUGGCGUAACCCU